CAAUAGCGUAUAUUUAAGUUGCUGCAGUUAAAAAGCUCGUAGUUGGAUUUCGGGUGGGAAUGGCCGGUCCGCCGUUUCGGUGUGCACUUGCUACGCCCACCUUGCUGCCGGGGACGUGCUCUUGAGUUCACGCUCGGGACACGGAGUCGGCGAAGUUACUUUGAGUAAAUUAGAGUGUUCAAAGCAGGCCUACGCUCUGAAUACAUUAGCAUGGAAUAACACGAUAGGACUCUGGCCUAUCUUGUUGGUCUGUAGGACCGGAGUAAUGAUUAAGAGGGACAGUCGGGGGCAUUCGUAUUUCAUUGUCAGAGGUGAAAUUCUUGGAUUUAUGAAAGACGAACUACUGCGAAAGCAUUUGCCAAGGAUGUUUUCAUUAA
This 377-nucleotide ribosomal RNA is filed under the name uncultured eukaryote. RNAcentral describes it as "partial 18S ribosomal RNA". It matches the Rfam family "Eukaryotic small subunit ribosomal RNA", at positions 592 to 976 of the family's 1831-position model. The record is from RNAcentral.